CCUACGGGAGGCAGCAGGAGGGAAUGUUGCGCAAUGGGCGAAAGCCUGACGCAGCAACGCCGCGUGAACGAGACGCCCUUCGGGGUGGAAAGUUCUGUAAGGGGGGACGAAAAAUGACGGUACACAAAGAGGAAGCACCGGCAAACUCCGGGCCAGCAGCCGCGGUAAUACGGAGGGGGCAAGCGUUGUCCGGAAUCAUUGGGCGUAAAGAGUUCGUCGGGGGCAUGUAAAGUCAGGUGUUAAAGGCGCAGGCUCAACCUGUGUCUGGCACUUGAUACUUGCAAGCUGGAAUGCGGUAGAGGUCAUGGGACUUCCUGGUGUAGCGGUUACAUGCUUAGAUAUUAGGAGGA
This 350-nucleotide ribosomal RNA is filed under the name uncultured bacterium. RNAcentral describes it as "partial 16S ribosomal RNA". It matches the Rfam family "Bacterial small subunit ribosomal RNA", at positions 338 to 705 of the family's 1533-position model. The record is from RNAcentral.